This 207-nucleotide ribosomal RNA is filed under the name uncultured bacterium. RNAcentral describes it as "partial 16S ribosomal RNA". It matches the Rfam family "Bacterial small subunit ribosomal RNA", at positions 568 to 774 of the family's 1533-position model. The record is from RNAcentral.
GGCGCAGGCGGGAAGCUAAGUUGGAUGUGAAAUACCGGGGCUCAACUCCGGAGCUGCAUCCAAAACUGGUUUUCUUGAGUGGAGUAGAGGCAGGCGGAAUUCCGAGUGUAGCGGUGAAAUGCGUAGAUAUUCGGAGGAACACCAGUGGCGAAGGCGGCUUGCUGGGCUCUAACUGACGCUGAGGCCCGAAAGCGUGGGGAGCAAACA